CUUUAGGCCAGCUAAGAUCAAGCAUGUCAAGGACCUGCAACUCUGAAAAGACAGUUUCCCCUACCAUAUGGAUGGAAGCAGCCUCUAUCCAUUAGAUGCAUAGCUGGAAUAGUCAGUUUCUUUAAAAACUAUCAGACUGAUACAUACUCUCUCGAUACUCUUCUCUUUCUUUCUGGUGACAUCCAAGGGUGAGGAGGAUCCUGUUGAUCCAUGCCCUCAUUUUACAGAUGAGGAGACUGAGGCUAACAGGAUUAAGUGACUUACCUAUAAUCACACAUCAACUGGAUACAGAAAUAACUGGAUGAACAGUUUACAUACUUACAUAGGGAAGCUGAACCACGAUAACAUUGAGAACAAAUUUAAUUGUGAUGAGAAGGCAACUCAGAUAAAAAUCUUUUAAGGAGAGGAGAACAUGGCAGAAGAUGGAAGAAGAUGGACAUUUAAUGAAACAAAUGAAUUCCAUUUGUUUCUGAAGAAAAAACCAGAACUAAACAAAAAAUUUGAUCUCCAAGCAUAGAACUCAAGAGAUGCAG
Molecule: long non-coding RNA, 533 nt
Filed under: Sarcophilus harrisii (Tasmanian devil)
Lineage: Eukaryota; Metazoa; Chordata; Mammalia; Dasyuromorphia; Dasyuridae
Description: lncRNA (ENSSHAG00000021502.1)
Source: RNAcentral